This 200-nucleotide long non-coding RNA is filed under the name Carica papaya (papaya). Its description in RNAcentral is "long non-coding RNA (CPAP_LNC000108)". The record is from RNAcentral. Lineage: Eukaryota; Viridiplantae; Streptophyta; Magnoliopsida; Brassicales; Caricaceae.
AGCAAAAGAUAAAAUUGAUGGAAGCACGUGACAUUUUCAUGCAUGAUACAAUAGUUAGCAUGUAACAACCCGAACCCACAUAUAUAUGUACACCCCUAAAUAAAUAAAAGAAAAUGUGAAAAAUAACUAAAAAUUAGAAUUUAGAUUUAAAUGAAAGAGUUUUAAGAAUUUUGGGGGGUUUAUUUUAAUUAAAGGACUUA